GGGCGGGGUGGAGCCAGGGCUUACCUGACAAUGCACAGCUAAGACUUCAUGACAGAACACUCAGAUGAAUACAGUACACAAGCCUGACCCACAAAAGUUCUGGAAGUUCACAGAGGCUGGAAAUCAACGGCAGGGCAGGGCGGGGUGGAGCCAGGGCAUACAUGACAAUGCACAGCUAAGACUUCGUGACAGAACACUCAGAUGAAUACAGCACCCAAGCUCCAUCCUCCCUUACGGAUUCUGAAGCUUACUGGACCGGCAGACAGCCUGUUAAUUGACCACUACCUAAAAAGUUUGACAAAUUGCAGUUGUGAGAGCAGAGUAAGAAUAUUUAUUGCAUAGCAAGAUGAAGAGCAGCUCGGUGUCUCAACAAAGCAAAGGUUCCGCAGCUACUCCAAAUUCUCCACCAAGGAAGAAAGGCAGACUGCGAAAUUGCAGAUUUAAUGAUAAUUAGCUUGCAGUUC
Xenopus laevis (African clawed frog) is the source of this 464-nucleotide long non-coding RNA. RefSeq lists it as uncharacterized. The transcript has 4 exons. NCBI's taxonomy places the organism in Eukaryota, Metazoa, Chordata, Amphibia, Anura, Pipidae. The record is from RefSeq and is a predicted model, not a curated record.